Molecule: ribosomal RNA, 1459 nt
Filed under: Escherichia coli
Lineage: Bacteria; Pseudomonadati; Pseudomonadota; Gammaproteobacteria; Enterobacterales; Enterobacteriaceae
Description: bacterial SSU rRNA
Rfam family: Bacterial small subunit ribosomal RNA
Source: RNAcentral
UUAAAUUGAAGAGUUUGAUCAUGGCUCAGAUUGAACGCUGGCGGCAGGCCUAACACAUGCAAGUCGAACGGUAACAGGAAGCAGCUUGCUGCUUUGCUGACGAGUGGCGGACGGGUGAGUAAUGUCUGGGAAACUGCCUGAUGGAGGGGGAUAACUACUGGAAACGGUAGCUAAUACCGCAUAACGUCGCAAGACCAAAGAGGGGGACCUUMGGGCCUCUUGCCAUCGGAUGUGCCCAGAUGGGAUUAGCUAGUAGGUGGGGUAAYGGCUCACCUAGGCGACGAUCCCUAGCUGGUCUGAGAGGAUGACCAGCCACACUGGAACUGAGACACGGUCCAGACUCCUACGGGAGGCAGCAGUGGGGAAUAUUGCACAAUGGGCGCAAGCCUGAUGCAGCCAUGCCGCGUGUAUGAAGAAGGCCUUCGGGUUGUAAAGUACUUUCAGCGGGGAGGAAGGGAGUAAAGUUAAUACCUUUGCUCAUUGACGUUACCCGCAGAAGAAGCACCGGCUAACUCCGUGCCAGCAGCCGCGGUAAUACGGAGGGUGCAAGCGUUAAUCGGAAUUACUGGGCGUAAAGCGCACGCAGGCGGUUUGUUAAGUCAGAUGUGAAAUCCCCGGGCUCAACCUGGGAACUGCAUCUGAUACUGGCAAGCUUGAGUCUCGUAGAGGGGGGUAGAAUUCCAGGUGUAGCGGUGAAAUGCGUAGAGAUCUGGAGGAAUACCGGUGGCGAAGGCGGCCCCCUGGACGAAGACUGACGCUCAGGUGCGAAAGCGUGGGGAGCAAACAGGAUUAGAUACCCUGGUAGUCCACGCCGUAAACGAUGUCGACUUGGAGGUUGUGCCCUUGAGGCGUGGCUUCCGGAGCUAACGCGUUAAGUCGACCGCCUGGGGAGUACGGCCGCAAGGUUAAAACUCAAAUGAAUUGACGGGGGCCCGCACAAGCGGUGGAGCAUGUGGUUUAAUUCGAUGCAACGCGAAGAACCUUACCUGGUCUUGACAUCCACGGAAGUUUUCAGAGAUGAGAAUGUGCCUUCGGGAACCGUGAGACAGGUGCUGCAUGGCUGUCGUCAGCUCGUGUUGUGAAAUGUUGGGUUAAGUCCCGCAACGAGCGCAACCCUUAUCCUUUGUUGCCAGCGGUCCGGCCGGGAACUCAAAGGAGACUGCCAGUGAUAAACUGGAGGAAGGUGGGGAUGACGUCAAGUCAUCAUGGCCCUUACGACCAGGGCUACACACGUGCUACAAUGGCGCAUACAAAGAGAAGCGACCUCGCGAGAGCAAGCGGACCUCAUAAAGUGCGUCGUAGUCCGGAUUGGAGUCUGCAACUCGACUCCAUGAAGUCGGAAUCUAGCUUAACCUUCGGGAGGGCGCUUACCACUUUGUGAUUCAUGACUGGGGUGAAGUCGUAACAAGGUAACCGUAGGGGAACCUGCGGUUGGAUCACCUCCUUACCUUAAAGAAGC